Molecule: ribosomal RNA, 459 nt
Filed under: uncultured bacterium
Lineage: Bacteria
Description: partial 16S ribosomal RNA
Rfam family: Bacterial small subunit ribosomal RNA
Source: RNAcentral
CCUACGGGAGGCAGCAGUGAGGAAUAUUGGUCAAUGGGAGAGAUCCUGAACCAGCCAAGCCGCGUGAGGGAAGACGGCCCUAUGGGUUGUAAACCUCUUUUGUCGGAGAACAAAACCCGGGACGUGUCCCGGACUGCGUGUAUCCGAAGAAAAAGCAUCGGCUAACUCCGUGCCAGCAGCCGCGGUAAUACGGAGGAUGCGAGCGUUAUCCGGAUUUAUUGGGUUUAAAGGGUGCGUAGGCGGUUUUUUAAGUUAGUGGUUAAACGUCGGGGCUUCACCUUGAUUUGCCAUUAAUACUGUAAGACUCGAGUUCAGACGAGGUAGGCGGAAUAAGUUAAGUAGCGGUGAAAUGCUUAGAUAUAACUUAGAACUCCGAUAGCGAAGGCAGCUUACCAGACUGCGACUGACGCUGAAGCACGAGAGCGUGGGUAGCGAACAGGAUUAGAUACCCUUGUAGUC